This 49-nucleotide small RNA is filed under the name Arabidopsis thaliana (thale cress). Its description in RNAcentral is "ATSL296910". Lineage: Eukaryota; Viridiplantae; Streptophyta; Magnoliopsida; Brassicales; Brassicaceae. The record is from RNAcentral.
GUCAUGGAUCCUCUCUGGUAGUACAGAAUUAAAUGCUACUUUGGUCGGA